This 253-nucleotide ribosomal RNA is filed under the name uncultured bacterium. Its description in RNAcentral is "partial 16S ribosomal RNA". It matches the Rfam family "Bacterial small subunit ribosomal RNA", at positions 524 to 776 of the family's 1533-position model. The record is from RNAcentral.
UACAGGGGGGGCAAGCGUUGUUCGGAAUUACUGGGCGUAAAGGGUUUGUAGGUGGCCACUUAAGUCAGACGUGAAAUCCCUCAGCUUAACUGGGGAACUGCGUCUGAUACUGAGUGGCUUGAGUGCAGGAGAGGAGCGCGGAAUUCCAGGUGUAGCGGUGAAAUGCGUAGAUAUCUGGAGGAACACCGGUGGCGAAGGCGGCGUUCUGGACUGUAACUGACACUGAAAAACGAAAGCCAGGGGAGCAAACGGG